CGGGUGGCAGCAGUGGGGAAUAUUGGACAAUGGGGGAAACCCUGAUCCAGCAAUGCCGCGUGUGUGAAGAAGGCCUGAGGGUUGUAAAGCACUUUCAGUGGGGAGGAGGGUUGACAGGUUAAGAGCUAGUUAACUGGACGUUACCCACAGAAGAAGCACCGGCUAACUCCGUGCCAGCAGCCGCGGUAAUACGGAGGGUGCGAGCGUUAAUCGGAAUUACUGGGCGUAAAGGGUGCGUAGGUGGUUUAUUAAGUUAUCUGUGAAAUCCCUGGGCUUAACCUGGGCAGGUCAGAUAAGACUGGUAGACUCGAGUAUGGGAGAGGGUAGUGGAAUUUCCGGUGUAGCGGUGAAAUGCGUAGAGAUCGGAAGGAACACCAGUGGCGAAGGCGGCUACCUGGCCUAAUACUGACACUGAGGCACGAAAGCGUGGGGAGCAAACAGGAUUAGAUACCCGAGU
RNAcentral lists this ribosomal RNA (457 nucleotides) under uncultured Legionellaceae bacterium. RNAcentral's name for it is "bacterial SSU rRNA". It matches the Rfam family "Bacterial small subunit ribosomal RNA", at positions 342 to 791 of the family's 1533-position model. Lineage: Bacteria; Pseudomonadati; Pseudomonadota; Gammaproteobacteria; Legionellales; Legionellaceae. The record is from RNAcentral.